RNAcentral lists this ribosomal RNA (206 nucleotides) under uncultured bacterium. RNAcentral describes it as "partial 16S ribosomal RNA". It matches the Rfam family "Bacterial small subunit ribosomal RNA", at positions 524 to 729 of the family's 1533-position model. The record is from RNAcentral.
UACGUAGGGUGCAAGCGUUAAUCGGAAUUACUGGGCGUAAAGCGUGCGCAGGCGGUUCGCUAAGACAGAUGUGAAAUCCCCGGGCUUAACCUGGGAACUGCAUUUGUGACUGGCGGGCUAGAGUAUGGCAGAGGGGGGUAGAAUUCCACGUGUAGCAGUGAAAUGCGUAGAGAUGUGGAGGAAUACCGAUGGCGAAGGCAGCCCCC